Molecule: ribosomal RNA, 419 nt
Filed under: uncultured Bacillus sp.
Lineage: Bacteria; Bacillati; Bacillota; Bacilli; Caryophanales; Bacillaceae
Description: bacterial SSU rRNA
Rfam family: Bacterial small subunit ribosomal RNA
Source: RNAcentral
GAGUUUGAUCAUGGCUCAGGACGAACGCUGGCGGCGUGCCUAAUACAUGCAAGUCGAACGAACGGAUAAAGAGCUUGCUCUUUUGAAGUUAGUGGCGGACGGGUGAGUAAUACGUGGGUAACCUGCCUCACAGCUGGGGAUAACAUCGAGAAAUCGAUGCUAAUACCGAAUGUGCUGAACAUCAUAAGAUGUUCAAGUGAAAGACGGUUUCGGCUGUCACUGUGAGAUGGACCCGCGCUGGAUUAGCUAGUUGGUAAGUAAUGGCUUACCAAGGCGACGAUCCAUAGCCGACCUGAGAGGGUGAUCGGCCACAUUGGGACUGGAGACACGGCCCAAACUCCUACGGGAGGCAGCAGUAGGGAAUCUUCGGCAAUGGACGAAAGUCUGACCGAGCAACGCCGCGUGAGCGAAGAAGGCCU